GACGAACGCUGGCGGCGUGCCUAAUACAUGCAAGUAGGACGCAGUUGCGAACGGGUGAGUAACGCGUAGGUAACUACCUAUUAGAGGGGGAUAACUAUUGGAAACGAUAGCUAAUACCGCAUACUAGUAGAUGGACCUGCGUUGUAUUAGCUAGUAGGUAGGGUAAUGGCCUACCUAGGCAACGAUACAUAGCCGCGCUGGGAGGGUGGACGGCCACACUGGGACUGGGACACGAACCAGACACCUACCGGAGGCAGCAGUAGGGGAUCGUCGGCAAUGGGGGGAACCCUUACCGAACAAAGCCGCGUGAGUGAAAAAGGGUUUCGGGUCGUAAAGCGCGGUUGGUAAGGAAGCGGUACUUAACCAGAAAGGGACGGCUAACUACGUGCCAGCAGCCGCGGUAAUGC
This 407-nucleotide ribosomal RNA is filed under the name uncultured bacterium. Its description in RNAcentral is "partial 16S ribosomal RNA". It matches the Rfam family "Bacterial small subunit ribosomal RNA", at positions 28 to 526 of the family's 1533-position model. The record is from RNAcentral.